Molecule: ribosomal RNA, 491 nt
Filed under: uncultured bacterium
Lineage: Bacteria
Description: partial 16S ribosomal RNA
Rfam family: Bacterial small subunit ribosomal RNA
Source: RNAcentral
AGUGAACGCUGGCGGUAGGCCUAACACAUGCAAGUCGAACGGCAGCACAGUAAGAGCUUGCUCUUACGGGUGGCGAGUGGCGGACGGGUGAGGAAUACAUCGGAAUCUACUUUUUCGUGGGGGAUAACGUAGGGAAACUUACGCUAAUACCGCAUACGACCUACGGGUGAAAGCAGGGGAUCUUCGGACCUUGCGCGAUUGAAUGAGCCGAUGUCGGAUUAGCUAGUUGGCGGGGGAAAGGCCCACCAAGGCGACGAUCCGUAGCUGGUCUGAGAGGAUGAUCAGCCACACUGGAACUGAGACACGGUCCAGACUCCUACGGGAGGCAGCAGGGGGAAAUAUUGAACAAUGGGCGCAAGCCUGAUCCAGCCAAACCGCGUGGGUGAAGAAGGCCUUCGGGUUGUAAAGCCCUUUUGUUGGGAAAGAAAAGCAGCAGGUUAAUACCCCGCUGUUCUGACGGUACCCAAAGAAUAAGCACCGGCUAACUUCGU